GCCCUACGGGGCGCAGCAGUCGCGAAAACUUUGCAAUACACGAAAGUGUGACAGGGUCAUCCCGAGUGCCGACCGCUGAGGUUGGCUUUUACCCAGUCUAGAAAGCUGGGGGAAUAAGGAGAGGGCAAGUCUGGUGUCAGCCGCCGCGGUAAUACCAGCUCUCCGAGUGGUGUGGACGUUUAUUGGGCCUAAAGCAUCCGUAGCUGGCUGGACAAGUCCCCUGUUUAACCCACCGAUUUAAUCGUUGGUCUGC
This 253-nucleotide ribosomal RNA is filed under the name uncultured archaeon. Its description in RNAcentral is "partial 16S ribosomal RNA". It matches the Rfam family "Archaeal small subunit ribosomal RNA", at positions 320 to 575 of the family's 1478-position model. The record is from RNAcentral.